GUAACACCCAAAGCACCGGGGUUUGCUACUGAGAAACCGGGCAGACCCCAGCAUGGAACGGGGAAACACAGGAGCCUGCCAGCAGGCAGCAAUGAACAGAACCGUGCCAACGAAACACUCAGCUGCACUUUUGGACCGAGCAGAGGCUCCAUCCCCCGGCACAGGGACAGCGCAGCCCAGGCUCCUCGGGAUUCCCCGGCAGGGAAGGUCCCAGACCCCAGCUCCAAAGGAACUCGCUGACAGCACACAAGCCCGUGAUUUAUGCCUAGCGAGUGCCAGGUGAUUUACGCACUAACAAGUGCUGGUGGCAGGGGAUUUCUAACGCGCCGGGGCUGUCGGCAGAGCCAGCCCGAGCAUCGCUUAGCGCUGCUGGCGGCACCGCGGCCGCCUCCGGAGCCGGGAGCGCCGGCUGCAGCCGGGGAGCGGAGCGGGAGCGGCGCAUCCCCGGCACGGUGCGAGCCGGGCUGCACUGCCUCCCCCGGGAGCACCGAACCCCAGCCCUGCCGCACACACAGCGCUGCUCCAACCGCACAGCGAGCACCACAGAAGGGUCCGCUGGAUGAGCUUAGUAAGCAGAACACAAGCCAAUGCACUCGGCUUAAAAUCACGGAUGCCAGCUACUGCAUGGGAAGCGGCGGCUCCGUUGGACUCUGACCGCGGCUGGCAAGAUGUUGCCAUUAGGAAAUAUUUCGGAGGGUCUCCCCGAGCAUCGCGGGCUUUCAGUGUGAAAUCGCCCCAUUAUUAGAGCGGUGCUCGCUAGGCGAGAGCGCAUCGGGGCUAUUCCUGAGCACCCACCAGGCUCGGGACAUCCUCACGGAUUCCACUUGGCACCGGGGGAUUGAGGCACAAAAAUAAGCGGCUCUUGUUCCCACAGGCAGCCCAGCCCGAAACCCAGCAGGCGCCCGGCUCGCUCUGUAACACCGUAACACUGUAGCCACGCGUUCCGCCGCUUGUUGAUGUUGUACAGAAACCCUUCAAUUUCAGGCGGCGUGGGAAUAAAACCAUAAAACCCCAAACUUUUCACAGCAUCACCCCCGCAGCUCGAUCCGGGCCCGCUCGGGGGGUUUA
Long non-coding RNA from Catharus ustulatus (Swainson's thrush), 1068 nucleotides. RefSeq lists it as uncharacterized. The transcript has 2 exons. NCBI's taxonomy places the organism in Eukaryota, Metazoa, Chordata, Aves, Passeriformes, Turdidae. The record is from RefSeq and is a predicted model, not a curated record.